CAUCUCUACUACCCACUGUCUACAAAGUGGUGUGGGGUGUGGGUACUGCAAAAAGUGGUUUAAAUGUUGUUGCCACGGCCAAACUGACGAUGCGCCGCGUCCGCUGAGCCUCGUGUCCGCACCCGUGAGAUCCGUGAUCCCCAGGUCCGAGCUCUGGGCACCCGGAAAACACAACGAGCACAGAUUCCGACUGUUUUCGGUUUCGUUUUCAGUUGGUUUGCAUAGGCAGACCAGGCAAACAAACAAACAAACACAUAGAAGCAUCGGGCUUAUACUAUACCAACGCGAAAAUAGGAUAAACGGAAGGCGGAGAAGUAGAUAGACAUCCUCUCGUUCCCUCUGAUUGCGAAUCAGUUCAGUUCAGCGCGCCAUGUCGCAGGUGCUCAGCCCCCACAAACAAGGCGUGGCGGAGGCGGACGGGCUGGACUACACCAACAGCAGCUCAAUCAUCGAGUUCCUGGCCAAGGAGCAGGACUGCGGCGGAAUACUGACCGAUCCGGACCCGGAGUCCAUAUUCCAGGAGGUUAGCCGCCUGUCCGACAGCACGGACAUGCGAUCCGUGGAUGAACUGCUGCAGGAAGCGGAGCGUCUGAUCCAACAGCAGUUGCGUCUCGGCGGUAUGGCCCCGGAAAUGGAUGGUUCCGGGCCUCUUGUUCCGCCCAAAUCCCUCGUCGGAGAAGCUUCCACCUGUGGUGAUGGCUCCUCCUCAUCCCCGCAAUCCUCGCCGCACAGCAGCAUACGGCUGAAUACACGCUAUACCCAUCGCAUCGAGCAUUUGCCCGCUCCCUUGCCGCCAAAAACCGUCGUAGUCAAUGGCAGGAACAGGCCCAGAUCCGGUUCCAAAUCGUCGGCCUCGCCCACAUCCGUGCAGACGCCGCUUGAGAGCAGCAAUGGCUGUGGAUUUGCCGCCUUCGUGGAUAACCUGCCAUCGGAGUCGGUCAUUUCCGAGGAGUCCACGCCCAAGGACAUGGACAUGGAGAACCAUACGGCGGCCUUGGCGCAGCUACAACUCCAGCUCCAGGAUAAUACCGAUGACGACGAGGAUACGAUGGAGGAGAUCACCGAGGCGGAGGUGGACGCCCCCACUUUUUCGCGGCCUGAGGACACUGGCAACUCGGUGAGGAGUCCUCCUGGCAGGCUGUCCAAUGGUCAAGGGCAGUCUUACAGCAAGCCCAGUCAGUCCAGUCAGCCCAUUCGACCAAUGGCCAGCUACAGCGAGAAGGCGGUGGGCAGCUCACCCAAGCGCAUGGUCAGCACCUUGACCUCACCCAUCGAGCAGAUCGCUUGCAGUGUUUCCCGGGAGCAUGCGCUCAAGCUGGAGAUCGAGCAGCUGCAGGAGCGCCUCAAGGACACCGAGGAGCGACUGGCCUCCGUUCGCCUGCAGAGCGACUCGCUGUCGCAGACGCAGCGUGCGCUCCGGGAGCACAACAGCCGGCUGCAGGAGGAGUCCGAGAUGCUCAAGCUGGAUGUGCAGCAUCUCAAUGAGUGCGCCAAUGUCUUGAGGGCGGAACUGCAAGCGGCUCGCCGCGAUCGUGGUGAGGCGCUCCAAAUGCAGCGCUCCCUGCGCGAGGAACUCGAGGAGGCGCACCAGGAGCGGCGGCGAACCGGGGAGGGCAAGGAGAAGGACAGCCGCGUCAUUCAGGACCUGCAGCGCCAGUGCCGCGAGAUGGAGCGGAUACUCAUGCGCAAGCAUCCGGACUCCGUGUCCGCGCUGAUAGUGGCGUCCAAGAGUCCGGGCAUGUGUCCGCUAAACGACCAGGAGAACUUAACCAGUCGCAAGCUGCUGGAGCAGCGCAUUGCCCAGCUGGAAUCUGAUGCCAAGGAGCAGGAUCGUAAGGCGCAACAGAUUCUGGCCAAUGUCCAGGCGCGCUUCAACUCGGUGCAAGCCAAAUAUGAGACGCACAUCGCGGACCUGGAGACGCAGGUUCUUAGCCUUCAGGAGAUCAACACGAAGCUGAACGAGCAGAUAGAAUCGCAGGUGCGCACCUUGGAUCGCUAUAUGCAAAAGCGGGCGGAUAGGUACUACAACAAUUGCACCCAAACGGAGCCAUUGGAGGAUGAUGGAUCAGUCGGCGGUGGUCUGAACCACGGAAGAGCUACCCCAGUCAGCUCGACCACAAUGGGCACCCAAACACAGGCGGCAAAUGGAACGCGGGAUCACAGUACCAAUACCAUUGGCUGCCCCUCGCCGGCGCUCGUGUGCCAGCAGCAACACCUCCAUCCAGCGCAUGGCCACCUCCAUCCACAUGCACCGUCCGCAAGCAGCAGCACCAGCAGCACGGCCAAUUCCACGCCGAACACGUCGCGUCCGAAUUCGAAGCAAAGUGGCGGUCAAAGGCGUUCGCCACUGGUCACCGCCGGCCCCUCCAAGCUGCCCAUCUCGCAGUCGGACUCGACGCUCUCACUGCUCAGCCAUGGCGGCGGAGGAUCCAAGGAGGAGGCACAAUUGCUCAGCUCCGUGCGGAGCAUGCGCGUCGAUCUGGCCAUCAAAAACAAGGCAAUGCAGCGUCUUACGCGGGAGCUGGAUGAAUGCAAGAAGACCAUACGGAAGCUGCAGCGGGACAGGGAGGCUAGUGGCUCUGGCAGCCAGCCAGGCAGCAAACUGGAUCUGCGGUCCCAGGCCAGCGGCGGAUCCCUGCAGAGGCGCUCCAGUGGCUACGAUCACCAUCACCACAGUGACCACAUUCCGGCGGCCACCGAAAGUCAGGCUCUGAAGGAGGCCCAAAACAAGUACCGCCUGCUGGAGGCCGACUAUAAAACCCUUCACGACAAGCGGCUGCAGGAUCUGAAGACCCUGCAGAGUGCCCACGAAAGGGAACUGGCCUCGUGCAACGAGACUGUGCGGAUCCUGCAGCAGCGCCUCAACGAGCGGGAAGAGGCUCUGACCACCCAGAAGCGGCGCAAGGUGCCCGUGGAUUACUAUGCCCUGAAAGCCAAGGUACAGAAGCCAAAGCAUAAGGCAUAAAGCAUAAAGCUCCCUGAAACAAUCAAGAUCUAUUGCAAGUUCAAGAACAUCCAGAAGAAGUCAAGUAUCGCUGUUGGAGAGGAGACACUCGGAGCGGGAGGAGAGACUGCAUAUGCUGGUGGAGGCGCUCAGCAAAGGACGGCUCAAUGGUGCA
RNAcentral lists this unclassified non-coding RNA (3119 nucleotides) under Drosophila yakuba. Its description in RNAcentral is "GE16430". The record is from RNAcentral. Lineage: Eukaryota; Metazoa; Arthropoda; Insecta; Diptera; Drosophilidae.